AUUCCCUUUAUAUAUUUAAAUGUUUCUAUCAUAUCCCCCCUGUCUCGUCUUUCCUCCAAGCUAUACAUGUUAAGAUCCUUUAACCUUUCCUGGUAAGUUUUAUCCUGCAAUCCAUGAACCAGUUUAGUAGCCCUUCUCUGAACCCUCUCUAAGGUAUCAAUAUCCUUCUGAAGAUACGGUCUCCAGUACUGUGUACAAUACUCCAAGUGAGGUCUCACCAGUGUUCUGUAUAAUGGCAUGAGCACUUCCCUCUUUCUACUGCUAAUACCACUCCCUAAACAACCAAGCAUUCUGCUGGCAUUUCCUGCUGCUCUAUUACAUUGUCUGCCUACCUUUAAGUCAUCCAAAAUCACCCCUAAAUCCCUUUCCUCAGAUGUUGAGGUUAGGACUCUUAUCAAAUAUUCUGUACUCUGC
Molecule: non-coding RNA, 414 nt
Organism: Pelobates cultripes (western spadefoot toad)
Lineage: Eukaryota; Metazoa; Chordata; Amphibia; Anura; Pelobatidae
Source: the annotation of a GenBank genome assembly